GCCCAAAUAGCUCAGCUGGUAGAGCAUGUAACUCUUAAUCUCAAGAUCAUGAGGUUUAAGUCCCAUGUUGGGUA
This 74-nucleotide transfer RNA is filed under the name Mesocricetus auratus (golden hamster). It matches the Rfam family "tRNA". Rfam says of the family: Transfer RNA (tRNA) molecules are approximately 80 nucleotides in length. Their secondary structure includes four short double-helical elements and three loops (D, anti-codon, and T loops). Lineage: Eukaryota; Metazoa; Chordata; Mammalia; Rodentia; Cricetidae. The record is from Rfam by way of RNAcentral.